Molecule: long non-coding RNA, 1467 nt
Organism: Caretta caretta (loggerhead turtle)
Lineage: Eukaryota; Metazoa; Chordata; Testudines; Cheloniidae
Source: RefSeq, a predicted model, not a curated record
CAGAGUGGAUUGAGCCUUCAAAUUAAGGCUGAUCAAAUGUUGUUCCAUAUGUGUUACAUCUGCAUGAGAAAAAAAGCCACAUCUUACAAACAGAAAAGAGAGCAAGGUUACCAUACGGCUAGAUUUUCCCGACAUGACCUAUUUCUUUGGUAGUCUGCUCUCUCUCCGGGGGGAUUUUUCAAAUAACAGGAAAUAUCUGGGAUUUUUCAAGCAGAGCACACGUUGCAGCUCAGAAAGAGCUGUCUCUGUGCUCCAGUUGGUUCCUCCCCUGCAGCCACAGCUGCUGUAUCCCAUCUGCCACGGCCCACCCUGCCAGAAAGUCCAGUUGAAAAGGGAACCCACAGUAACUGGCCUCCGCCACCAGGGGCGGGAGGAGCAGCAGCUGCUGCUGGAGCCUGGAGGAGCUGGUCUCUGCUAAGCUGAUGACUCUUUACAGAGAGAGCUGGCUGGCUCUGGGACCCCGCUCCAGCCUCUCCAGCACAGAGAUUUGACAAAAUGCAAAGAAGAUACCAGUGUGAGAUUUCUAAAGAUAGCUACAGCACUCGACCCAAGGUUUAAGAAUCUGAAGUGCCUUCCAAAGUCUGAGAGGGACAAGGUAUGGAGCAUGUUUUCAGAAGUCUUAAAAGAGCAACACUCCCAUGUGGAAACUACAGAACCCGAACCUCCUAAAAGGAAAAUCUACCUUCUGCUGGUGGCAUCUGACUCAGAUAAUGAAAAUGAACGUGCGUCGAUCCACGUUGCUUUGGAUUGUUAUCAAGCAGAAUUCGUCAUCAGCAUGGACACGUGUCCCCUGGAAUGGUGGUUGAAGCAUGGAGGAACAUAUGAAUCUUUAGCACAUCUGGCAUGUAAAUAUCUUGCAAUACCAGCUACAGCAGUGCCACGAGAACACCUGGUGGCACUAUAAACUUUCAGGUGGCACUAUAAACAAGAAGCAGGCAGCAUUAUCUCCUGCAAAUACGAACAAGUUUGUUUACCUGAGCGAUUGGCUGAGCAAGAAGUAGGAGUGGGUGGACUUGCAGGCUCUAAAAUUUUACAUUGUUUUAUUUUUAAUGCAGUUUUUUGUACAUAAUUCUACAUUUGUAAGUUCAGCUUCCAUGAUAAAGAGAUUGCACUACAGUAUUUAUAUUAGGUGAACUGAAAAAUACUAUUUCUUUUGUUUUUUACAGUGCAAAUACUUGUAAUCAAAAAUAAAGUGAGUACUGUACACUUUGUAUUGUGUUAUAAUUGAAAUCAAUAUAUUUGAAAAUGUAGAAAACAUCCAAAAUAUUUAAAUAAAUGGUAUUCUCUUAUUGUUUAACAGUACGAUUAAUCACGAUUAAUUUUUUUAAUUGCUUAACAGCCCUAAAAUAAAUCCAAUCACUUGGCUGGGCUUCCCAAUUCCCCUGAAACUCCUUUUACUUGAGAGUUGAUAGAUAUAGAAUUUUGUGCUAUUAGACAGGCGCUGCAGAUCACUAAUCUAGACAGCCA